GCCGUUGUGGCGAAAUGGUAGACGCAACGGACUUAAAAUCCGUUGAUGAGCGAUCAUCGUGUGGGUUCGAGUCCCACCAGCGGUA
RNAcentral lists this transfer RNA (85 nucleotides) under Phragmitibacter flavus. It matches the Rfam family "tRNA". From Rfam's summary of the family: Transfer RNA (tRNA) molecules are approximately 80 nucleotides in length. The record is from Rfam by way of RNAcentral. Lineage: Bacteria; Pseudomonadati; Verrucomicrobiota; Verrucomicrobiia; Verrucomicrobiales; Verrucomicrobiaceae.